AUACAGAGGGUGCAAGCGUUAUUCGGAAUUACUGGGCGUAAAGCGCGCGUAGGCGGAUGAUUAAGUCAGUUGUGAAAGCCCUGGGCUCAACCUAGGAACUGCAUCUGAUACUGGUCGUCUAGAGUUUAAGAGAGGGAAGUGGGAUUCCAGGUGUAGCAGUGAAAUGCGUAGAUAUCUGGAGGAACAUCAGUGGCGAAGGCGACUUCCUGGCUUAAAACUGACGCUGAGGUGCGAAAGCGUGGGUAGCGAACGGGAUUAGAAACCCUAGUAGUCC
This 274-nucleotide ribosomal RNA is filed under the name uncultured bacterium. RNAcentral describes it as "partial 16S ribosomal RNA". It matches the Rfam family "Bacterial small subunit ribosomal RNA", at positions 523 to 796 of the family's 1533-position model. The record is from RNAcentral.